AUUUGGAAACUUGAAUCCCGUUAAAAUGACCAUUUCACUUUUACACGAGACUUUUUGCUUCUCUUAUUCCGUUGAGUUUCGAGCUCGCUCUUCACACUGACUCGAGAAUAUGUUUUCAGCAGCAACUCGAUAAAUUCGAUGUACUUGAUCGAAAUUACCGAAAUUCAGUCAGGUAUGCGAAUACUGCAUCAACGAAAAUGAUAAUAAGUGUCGGUAACGUGCAGUUAUAGCUUGAUCAGCACGAGUAUAGGCCCAACAAAGGUAGUUUUUCCAUAUAUAGGUAUCAAUUCCGAACCGGAGAGUGUAAGCAACUGGUGUUUGCAGGCAUGAGCUUAAAAUGUCGAUAUCGUACAAUAUUCAAAAUGAUCGAACCCACAUACACGAAAGCCAACAUCUUCUAAUCAGCGAUUUUCAUCGAAGCAACCAGCGCACCCUCUGCGCAUACACUUUUUCCCUCUCAUCCGCGCGUUCGAGCCAGAAGCUUGUCCCACACUCUGCAGCUAUCCUCGAUGUCACGAUGAUGGACGAACACAAGGCGAGUAUGUAAGGUAUCUCCACAGCCCAGUUGGCUCCGAAACUACCGAUGGUCGAGAUCAUGAACGACAUAACUGCAAAUCCAUUUUAUACUGAUGAUGCUUGUGUGAAUAUUAAAAAAAAAAAUAAUAAUAAUAAUAAUAAUAAUAAACAUACCAAUAAUGAUAAUUUUCUUCAUCAGCGUGGUUGUCAUGACCGUAAAGAGGAAUCCGAAAAUGACAGCUGACGACGCAAUUAUCGUCGAAUUGACGUACACUGCAGACUCAACGUCGGGCUGUAAAUCAAAAAGCGUUAUCUCGCUGCGCAAUCGUGUCACGCUGCAUCAGCCAUUCGUUUCUCUUACCAUCAAGGUGUAAUUGCAGGACGAAUAGUCGACAUCAGCCUGAAUCCGCGGAAAAAGCAUUUCGCACAUCGUUAUGGUUUUGUCGGGGUUAAACGACCGGACGAGAACUCGGAAAUUGUUCAACGUUAUGAACAGUUGAGGCACCCACAGUCUCAUCGUGUUGAAGCUGGAAUGUUUGUUUUAGCGUUGAAGAAAGCGAUGCGUGUAAUACGAUUUGCUAAAGUUGAAAAUCUCACCCUAGCAUACUGGUGAAUUGCAGGGCCAGGAGAAUUAGAAAUACCCUCGAGUAGGCUUGCGAGAACAGCAUUUUCAGCUUCGAGAUACUAUCUUGCAAGCUCUCCCUGCAAAUAUUUUUUAAACUGUUCCUCAUUUUUUGUCGAGCUACGAGUGUCUUAAUCUUACAAAUCGGAACAAUGGAAAUAACGUUAGUGAAGUUUGCGUACUCGGUUAUAAAAGAACUUCGAGAUUCAGAGUUACGUACCUUGAACGAGCUUGCGGACUCGAAGAAGUUCAUGCUGUACAUGGUCUUCAAUACCCGAAGAGCUUCCUUGCUCUCGCCCUGAGUCAAGAGAUAUUUCGGGCUCUUCGGCAUCAGACACACCAUAAUCGCUCCCAUUAUCGAAGGUAUCGUGCAAAUCAGCACGUAGACUCGCCAGGUCUCGUAGAAGUAGUUGAAAAUCGUAAAAUUCAACCAGUGGGUGCGCAGUAUAAAUACCGAUGCUAGCGCUGCAAAAAAAUUAACAUUUUAUCUUCCGUGAGAAAAAAUGAGAAAGCCUCUCUCGCAUACCUGGUGGAAAAAUGUUCGAAAUAACAAAGAGUAGACUGGCCCAGUUGGUGAACGUCUGCUGAUAAGUGGGCGCGUGGAACUCCGAGAGAUAGGGCAUGAGCAGUGACAAUGGACCAGCGAUCCUGCGAUUAUUCUCAAAAUUAGUGCAACACUGCAGAAAACUAUUGGCCAACGUCUGUUUGCACCUCCCGUGCGUGUACUCACAGUAUUCCAUUGAGAAACUUGUACAUUACGAAGGAGUAGUAAGAGGUGGCGUGAGCCCAAAGGAUGUUGCAUAUCGAGUCAAGCACUAGUCCAAAGAUAAUCACGUUACGCUUUCCCGAGAACGAGCUAAUCGCGCAGUCUUGGAAGAUGAAAUCCCAGAGCGGCCCAGCGAUGAUCAUCCCUAAACAUCGAUAUACCGAUAUCUCGUAAUAAUGUGCACACGUGUCUUUUGCGAUAUAACUCGUCUCGCUUAAAAAUCAGAAUAGAACCUAUGUACACAAUGCCAACGGCGACGCCUCUGCGAAACAGGGUCAGUUCGAAGUCGCACUCGGUGGACUGGAUGAAGAAGGCCGUGAUCGUGGUGUCGAGGACGCAGGUCCAGCCGACGGGCAGAGCUGCCAGGAGCAUAAGUAUGUUGAAGAGUCCGUAGCCUAUUCGCAAACGAGACGUCGCUUAUCAUUUUCUAUGCAUCGAUGGAUAUUUGUAUUCAAUCGUUUAUCGCGUGUCCGAACCCGCGCGUUAUCUGAUGUAUAUAACAUUGAUCCUUGAUUAUAUUUUAAUAUGCAUGAAAGUGUCGGUAUCGGAAAGUUUCUCUCGAUUAUUUUCCGAGAAACUUUUGUUCGUGCCAUCGGCUUGGGAGGAAAUUUUUCGAAUUUAAUCGAGGAAGGCUAGCGUGGAAAGAUACAGAUUUGCAAUAGUUCGAAACGUAUAAUCUAUUAAAAGACAUUCAUGUCGAACGAAAAUAAGAUCGUUUAUCUGUCGCAUAUACUACAGUUUACACAGUUUUAUAACCAGAUUAAGACACUUGUCGCCGCGUACACGUAACGUUAUUGCAGUAGAAUACGAAUCGAAAAGAAGGAUCCAAUUACACAUCAAUCGAAAACCCAUCGUUAAUUUAACCACGAGGCCACAUACCUGUCGUAGCGAUGGCCUUCUCGUAAUCCGCAGGAUUCUGAUACUCCUCUGCCGUAAUCCAAGCAUGAAAAAAAAAAAAAAAAACGAAAAGAAAAGCAAACCUCGGUUAAA
Molecule: long non-coding RNA, 2894 nt
Filed under: Nasonia vitripennis (jewel wasp)
Lineage: Eukaryota; Metazoa; Arthropoda; Insecta; Hymenoptera; Pteromalidae
Description: uncharacterized LOC116417262, transcript variant X2
Source: RNAcentral